UAGUUUUUUUAGAAAUAAAUUUAAUUUACAAAUUUUUAAUUUUUAAUUUAUUUUUUAAAUUUAAAAAUUUAUUAAUUUGAAUAUUUUAAGGGAUAAGCUUUAAAGUAAAAAGUUAAAAAUUGUUGAAUAGUUGAUUUAAAAUGUAUGUAUAGAAUUAGCAAUCAUUUGUAAGUUUUUUAUAAAUUAUUUUAUAAUUUAUAUUAUUUAAUUUGGUUUUCAUUGAAUUUAUAAAAAUUUUUUUAUUAAUUUUAAAUAAAAAGUAAUAAUGAUUAAAUUAGUAUAUUUAUGAUGUGUUGUUUAAAUAUUUUAUACUGAUAAGUUUAUGUAAAGAACUCGGCAAAUUUUGUACUCGCCUGUUUAACAAAAACAUGUCUUUUUGAUUUAUAUUUAAAGUCUGACCUGCCCACUGAAUAAUUUUAAAUGGCCGCAGUAUUUUGACUGUGCAAAGGUAGCAUAAUCAUUAGUCUUUUAAUUGGAGGCUGGUAUGAACGGUUGGACGAGGUAUAAGCUGUUUCAUUUAAAUUUAUAGUAGAAUUUUAUAUUUUAGUUAAAAAGCUAAAAUUUAGUUAAAAGACGAGAAGACCCUAUAAAUCUUUAUAAUUAGUUUUCAUUGAAUUUUUUUGAUUUGUUUUAUUUUUUUUUAACUAAUUAUUUUGUUGGGGUGAUGUUAAAAUUUAAUGAACUUUUAAUUUUUAAAAUCAUUAAUUUAUGAUUUAUUGAUCCGUUAAUAAUGAUUAUAAGAUUAAGUUACUUUAGGGAUAACAGCGUAAUUUUUUUUGAGAGUUCAUAUCGACAAAAAAGUUUGCGACCUCGAUGUUGGAUUAAGGUAUAAUUUUGGGUGUAGCUGUUCAAAAAUUAAGUCUGUUCGACUUUUA
This 875-nucleotide ribosomal RNA is filed under the name Anastrepha pallidipennis. RNAcentral describes it as "partial 16S ribosomal RNA". The record is from RNAcentral. Lineage: Eukaryota; Metazoa; Arthropoda; Insecta; Diptera; Tephritidae.